RNAcentral lists this ribosomal RNA (343 nucleotides) under uncultured bacterium. RNAcentral describes it as "bacterial SSU rRNA". It matches the Rfam family "Bacterial small subunit ribosomal RNA", at positions 30 to 355 of the family's 1533-position model. The record is from RNAcentral.
AGUGAACGCUGGCGGCAGGCCUAACACAUGCAAGUCGAGCGGCAGCGGGGUCCCCGCGAGGGGAUGCCGGCGAGCGGCGGACGGGUGAGGAACACAUCGGAAUCUGCCUGGUUGUGGGGGAUAACGUAGGGAAACUUACGCUAAUACCGCAUGCGACCCUGAGUCGACGGACUUGGGGUGAAAGUGAGGGACCUUCGGGCCUCACGCGACCAGAUGAGCCGAUGUCGGAUAGCUAGUUGGCGGGGUAACGGCCCGCCAAGGCGACGAUCCGUAGCUGGUCUGAGAGGAUGAUCAGCCACACUGGGACUGAGACACGGCCCAGACUCCUACGGGAGGCAGCAGU